Peromyscus leucopus (white-footed mouse) is the source of this 644-nucleotide long non-coding RNA. RefSeq lists it as uncharacterized. The record is from RefSeq and is a predicted model, not a curated record. Lineage: Eukaryota; Metazoa; Chordata; Mammalia; Rodentia; Cricetidae. The transcript is spliced from 3 exons.
CUCUAGCCCCAAACUCUAAGAUUCAGUGCUCAGGAGACAGUUUUGAGCUAGGAGAUUCACCAUUCUUACUCUAGGAACAUAGAUGACUGGCAGUCAAAUACCUACUGCCACUUUGUGUUUGGACUUGAUGCCACAUGUCAGACUUUCUAUCAUCAAGAAAACAAGAUUCAUGAUUACAGCAGCUGUGUUACCUGUACGGACUUGAACAAGAUGGGCUCAUUAACAUUCCUUCAUGGAUGGGAGAUGGGCUUAUGAGGCUCCACCCCCACCCCAGAGUGCACGUGAAGAAAUGGAAUUAAGGUGAACAGGAGCAGCAGGAGUGGGUCGGCCACUUAGAUUUCAUCUCAAAGGAAGUGCGUGCUUUAAGAAUUUUUGAGGAGGACACUACAAGAAGACAGUCUCAUCCACCAGCCAUUUUAGCACUCGGUGUCAGCAACAGAUAGCAUCUGGAUAUGAAGGGCAGAGGACAGAGCAGGUGACAAGCGACCUGUGUCAAGACAGCCCUAAUGAGACACUUCAGGUGACACACAGCAUCAGGUGAGGGUGUUUAGGGGCCUAGUCUUUUCAUGUGUGCAGGGAGGAUUGUGGGGGCAUGUGCGUGUGUGCUCGCACAUGUGUGCGCACAUGUGUGUGUGUGUGGAGGC